Cyprinus carpio (common carp) is the source of this 1399-nucleotide long non-coding RNA. The record is from Ensembl. Lineage: Eukaryota; Metazoa; Chordata; Actinopteri; Cypriniformes; Cyprinidae.
UAUAUUCUAAUAAUAUAUAUUCUAAUAAUAUAUAUUCUAAUAAUAUAUAUUCUAAUAAUAUAUUUUCUUUACUAUCACUUUUUAUCAAUUUAACACAUCCUUGCUGAAUAAAAGUAUUGAUUUUAUUUAAAAAAAGAAAGAAAAAAAAAUUACUGACCCCAAAUUACUGACCAGUAGUGUAUUUAUAUUUUAAAAACAUAGCUUCUUUUUUUUUUUUUUUUUUUACUUUUUAUUCAUCAAAGUAUCCUAAAAAAGUAUCACAUGUUCUGAAAAAAUAUUAAGCAGCAGAACUGUUUCCAACUUUGAUAAUGAAUCAUCAUAUUAGAAUGAUAUCUAAAGGAUCAUGUGAUAAUGAUCCUAGAAAAUUCAGCUUUGCUUCACAGAAAUAAAUGAUAAUUUAAAGUAUAAUAAAUUUAAAAACAAUUAUUUUAAAUUGUAAUAAUAUAUCACAAUAUUAAAUUUUUUUCUGUAUUUUUGAUCAAAUAAAUGCAGGCUUGAUGAGCAGAAGAAACUUCUUUCAAAAACAUUAAAAAUAGUAAUGUUUCCAAACUUUUGACCUGUACUGUAUAUAUAUAUAUAAAUUAAAUAUAAAUAUUUAAUAAGUUUCAUUUUAUUAUAGUACCAGUGCCUGGUAAAGCAUCUACUAUAGACAGCUCUUAAAAGUGUGAAAUGGACAUAAUUUUCCCUGCCUGUGAUGUCAUAGCUCAGGAUAGUUGCUAAUGGUUUGGGACAGUGCAUGUUCUUGUGCGGUCAACAAGAAGUCGAUAUUGUCAUCAUGACAUCAUUUUACUGUGUGUUUAGAGUGAGUAGUCACAUGCCAUUUAUGUUUCAGGUGACUGUCCCUAAAAACUAUAAUAAAAUAUAAUGAUUUGAGCUGUUCAGAUUUAAAUGUAGAUUUUUGUAUAUGGUAAACACAUGAUAUAAGAAUAUAUUCAGUACUAUGUCUUGACACAUCUAUGAUUUGGGAACAUAUGGUAUGGUACGGUAACAUUUUGUUUUACCAGGAAAUAAAACUAGCAAAAAAUACAAAAGUCUUCAAUCUUGUAAAAUCCAUAUUUACACAUAUAUCCAUAGAUUUUCUUAGCAAUCUCUAUCUUAACAAAAUGACCUAAAAUGUGUAUAAAUCAUUUGAUCCAAUCAAAUCCUGAUCACAGCUGGUCAGCACACCAGCAGUAUGCAAUAUGUAUCUGUCCUAAAUCACACUGUUAGACACUGACGAGCAAAUGAGAAGAAUGUGCGGAGUCAUCCCCCUUCCCUGCGCCUCUUAAUCUGUUCAUUUUCACUGUCAUCCAUACACUCUCUCUAUCCAGCAUGCCCACAGUAGUCCACAGUCAUUCAUUUAAUCCCACGAUUCAUAUCAAGUGCAUUUUUUUGGCCACACACACACACACACACACAC